CACCUCUGGUUGGUCCGAUCGAAAGGCGGGGAUAACAAGUCUGAGAGGGUCUGAACCAGGAAAGUUGCCUCAUUCUACAGAAAGACUGCAAAGGGUCUGAACCAGAAAAGUUGCCUCAUUCUACAAAAAGACUGCAAAGGCGGUGAUAACAAGUCUGAGAGGGUCUGAACCAGGAAAGUUGCCGCAUUCUACACAAAGACUGCAAAGGGUCUGAACCAGAAAAGUUGCCUCAUUCUACAAAAAGACUGCAAAGGUGCCACCAGAUGCUCUUUGGCUGCAGUUUGGAAGAGGUGCCCUCAGACUGCACAGAACACGGGACACCCUGGCGAUGGAGAUGUUCUAACACAGCCAGAGAAUGAGACUGUCACCCCCCAACUCACUCUGACUUCUGCUCUAGGGGACAGCUACACUGGUGACUCUACAUAUGUGUAUGCUCAGGCUUGUGCUAUAACCUCCUACUGUCCACACUUAAACUCCAGCAGCACCUGUCUCAAGGCAGGCAGAGGGUGAAGGAGCUAGCAAGCCUCAGGGCCAUGGGUAAGCACGUGCCUUAUCUGUGACAUGGGGCCAGACCCAGGGGCCAGUUUGCAGUAUGAAGAGGGGGAAUGUGCCAGCUCUUAAGAUUCAUUAGUCCUCCACCCUCAUUCCCACAAUGACCCUUUUCUUCCUGACCGUUCCCAGUCUAGGUCCCUGCCCCCUGAGCACUGGUGUUAGUGUGUGGCCCUGACUGGCCACAGAAGGCAGUCUGGCUUUCCACUGCUCGCCUUAGAGGUGAAAAUGGAUCCUGCACUGAGAGCAGCAGCUUGGCCCACCAAGCAAACCCGGAUGCUGAUCAAUGCGUGGGUGCAGUACACUGUGUGCCACGAAUUUUCCCAGAGCACCAAGAACAUUUCCCUGUAUCCAGAAAUUUCACAGAGGAUGGAGCAGGAGGCAAUCAGCAAAUUCCAUCCCUAUGCUGUGAAUGCAUGAAGCACUUGAGGCUCCUGUACAGGCUGCCAAAGACUUAAGCAGUUCUUCCAGGAGGGCUCGUCGUACAUACCCCUUCUACAAGAAGCUGGACCAGGUGCUGUCUAGGGCUCACGAUCCCCUGCUCAACCAUGCUGGCCUCAUUCUCCAAGAGGCAGGGACGGCUCUAGCAUUUCAGCUGCCCCAAGCAUGCAGGCAGGCUGCCUUCAGCAGCUUGCCUGUGGGAGGUCCCAGGUCACGCAGAUCUGGUGGCAUGCAGCCGGUGGUCCGCCGGUCAUGCAGCUUCGGAAUCCGCAGAACUGGUGGACCUCCCACAGGCAUGCCACUGAAGGUUGCCUGACUGUUGCCCUCGCGGGGACCGGCAGGGUGCCCCCAGUGGCUUGCCGCCCCAGUCGCAUGCUUGGAGCACUGGUGCCUGGAGCUGGCCCUGCCAAGAGGACACUGAUGGGGGCCAGCGUGAGAAGGCAGCAGAGACUGUGGAGGACACCCCAGAGGAUGAGGAGAAUGUGAUUCUACACCUGUACCUGCAGGAGCAGGUUGAAGAAGCCCCCCCAUGACGAACUGAGGAAGACCUCCCGAGCUGUGUCAGGAACCAGAAUCUGAGGCUUGUCAGCUGCAAUGCCUCAUCAUUAAUAUCCCUUCUUGCUCUGGUGCUUCAAUCUCAGUUUUAAGAUCCAGGGCAUUUAAAAUACUGUGCGCUGACUUUUUCUCCUUGUUGCAGCAAAAACUCCAGCUGGUUUUUCAGGGUCACCGGCAGUGCAAAUCUGCUUCCUCCACCUUCAUAGAUGACCAAAUCCCUCCAUUCAGCAGUAUGUGAUCCACUGGGCCUUGCAGGACGAUUGACUAGUAACCUUUUCAGUUCACUGACUCGCCUGCCCAAUGCAGGGGACAAAGUAUUGGGCUAUGGGUGCCAUCGAUGGCCCUGCACAGUUUGGAAACCCCAUUAACUGAAAACCAACUAGAAGUGCUGGAACUUUUCUUAGGACACCCACCUGUGGGUACAUUAGUGUUCACUGCCCCACAAACCUGCACGGCCGCAACCCUGACAGUGGAUGGGUCAACUGCAAAGUGGUUUACAAUGGACCUAUAGCUGUCUGGUGUAGCCUGCAUCCACAGGGCAACAGCCAUCCACUUCUGAACUGGUGCAUCUUCCCUGAAUCAAGUGUUCUGGUGCUGGAGAGUUGGCUCAAGCUCUGCACAGAGCUCCAUGUAGGUCUAUUGCCUCAUUCGGCACAAAAUUUAGAUCCUACCAUAUGGUGCUGGUUCUUCAUCAGAUGUGACAGUCACUAGAAGGAUGCACUGUGACAAUCUGGACAUUCACAUAACUAUACUGUGUGAGCAGAAUUGACUUGUCAGUGCCCCACAGGGUCAGUCAUCUUCGAUGUGUCAGAAAAUGCUGCCCAAAUUCCAUCCAGCAGCUUGCUGAGCACCCACUUCACUGCAUAACGAUUUAUCCCUCAGUAAGGAACGAGAGACGAACCAGAUCAUCCAAUUGCUCAAUGUCUUCUACCCAGUUCUGUAGGAAUAACAAUCAGAGAGUGACAUGAUCAAGAACUGCCACAGGCAAGCAUGUGAAGGCGGAGGGCAGUACCAAUAUCCCACAGCAGAGCGGUUCUUGUAGUGUCUCCCUGUGAUACACAGAGCCCUGAGAUACCACCCCUGAAAUGGCAGGGCUACUGCUGUGUACUUACAGUGGCAGUGUGGCCACUGGGUUUUGCAUGUACACAGUGUUAUACCUGUUUCCAUCAACGUACAGGUGGACGCAAAUGUGAGCAUAGUCUUAGCUUGAGGGGAAAAAGCUCUCGCCAACAUAAGCUACAAAUCAGACCAGUCGCAUUUAAAAAAAAAAAAGUACAAUGCUG
Long non-coding RNA from Gopherus flavomarginatus (Mexican gopher tortoise), 2828 nucleotides. RefSeq lists it as uncharacterized. The record is from RefSeq and is a predicted model, not a curated record. NCBI's taxonomy places the organism in Eukaryota, Metazoa, Chordata, Testudines, Testudinidae. The transcript has 5 exons.